RNAcentral lists this ribosomal RNA (762 nucleotides) under Pseudomonas aeruginosa. RNAcentral describes it as "bacterial SSU rRNA". It matches the Rfam family "Bacterial small subunit ribosomal RNA", at positions 46 to 803 of the family's 1533-position model. The record is from RNAcentral. Lineage: Bacteria; Pseudomonadati; Pseudomonadota; Gammaproteobacteria; Pseudomonadales; Pseudomonadaceae.
GCCUAACACAUGCAAGUCGAGCGGAUGAAGGGAGCUUGCUCCUGGAUUCAGCGGCGGACGGGUGAGUAAUGCCUAGGAAUCUGCCUGGUAGUGGGGGAUAACGUCCGGAAACGGGCGCUAAUACCGCAUACGUCCUGAGGGAGAAAGUGGGGGAUCUUCGGACCUCACGCUAUCAGAUGAGCCUAGGUCGGAUUAGCUAGUUGGUGGGGUAAAGGCCUACCAAGGCGACGAUCCGUAACUGGUCUGAGAGGAUGAUCAGUCACACUGGAACUGAGACACGGUCCAGACUCCUACGGGAGGCAGCAGUGGGGAAUAUUGGACAAUGGGCGAAAGCCUGAUCCAGCCAUGCCGCGUGUGUGAAGAAGGUCUUCGGAUUGUAAAGCACUUUAAGUUGGGAGGAAGGGCAGUAAGUUAAUACCUUGCUGUUUUGACGUUACCAACAGAAUAAGCACCGGCUAACUUCGUGCCAGCAGCCGCGGUAAUACGAAGGGUGCAAGCGUUAAUCGGAAUUACUGGGCGUAAAGCGCGCGUAGGUGGUUCAGCAAGUUGGAUGUGAAAUCCCCGGGCUCAACCUGGGAACUGCAUCCAAAACUACUGAGCUAGAGUACGGUAGAGGGUGGUGGAAUUUCCUGUGUAGCGGUGAAAUGCGUAGAUAUAGGAAGGAACACCAGUGGCGAAGGCGACCACCUGGACUGAUACUGACACUGAGGUGCGAAAGCGNNNNGAGCAAACAGGAUUAGAUACCCUGGUAGUCCACGCCGU